RNAcentral lists this ribosomal RNA (736 nucleotides) under uncultured Acinetobacter sp. RNAcentral describes it as "bacterial SSU rRNA". It matches the Rfam family "Bacterial small subunit ribosomal RNA", at positions 43 to 766 of the family's 1533-position model. Lineage: Bacteria; Pseudomonadati; Pseudomonadota; Gammaproteobacteria; Moraxellales; Moraxellaceae. The record is from RNAcentral.
CGGGGCUACACCCUGCCGUUUAGCGGAGCGAACGGUGCUUGCCCCUUAGCCGUAACGGCGGACGGGUGAGUAAUGCUUAGGAAUCUGCCUAUUAGUGGGGGACAACGUUUCGAAAGGAACGCUAAUACCGCAUACGUCCUACGGGAGAAAGCAGGGGAUCUUCGGACCUUGUGCUAAUAGAUGAGCCUAAGUCGGAUUAGCUAGUUGGUGGGGUAAAGGCCUACCAAGGCGACGAUCUGUAGCGGGUCUGAGAGGAUGAUCCGCCACACUGGGACUGAGACACGGCCCAGACUCCUACGGGAGGCAGCAGUGGGGAAUAUUGGACAAUGGGCGAAAGCCUGAUCCAGCCAUGCCGCGUGUGUGAAGAAGGCCUUUUGGUUGUAAAGCACUUUAAGCGAGGAGGAGGCUUCUUUGGUUAAUACCCAAAGUAAGUGGACGUUACUCGCAGAAUAAGCACCGGCUAACUCUGUGCCAGCAGCCGCGGUAAUACAGAGGGUGCAAGCGUUAAUCGGAUUUACUGGGCGUAAAGCGUGCGUAGGCGGCUAAUUAAGUCAAAUGUGCAAAUCCCCGAGCUUAACUUGGGAAUUGCAUUCGAUACUGGUUAAGCUAGAGUAUGGGAGAGGAUGGUCAGAGUUCCAAGGUGUACGGUGAAAUGCGUAGAGAUCUGGAAGGAAUACGGAUUGCGAAAGGCAGCCAUUCUGGCCUAAUUAUGGACGCUUAAGUACAAAGCUUGGGG